RNAcentral lists this unclassified non-coding RNA (699 nucleotides) under Hevea brasiliensis (rubber tree). The record is from RNAcentral. Lineage: Eukaryota; Viridiplantae; Streptophyta; Magnoliopsida; Malpighiales; Euphorbiaceae.
GGCCGUUCCAACUCCGAUCAUCGACGACAUCAUGGACGGAGGACGCUCGUUCAAUCACAUCCUCUUUCUUCUCUUCGUCGUUCUCCUGCUCUUUCCGGUCAUCUUUGCUGCCAAAUUUGACUAUUGCGAUAGGAGAGGUAAUUAUCCUGUGAAGGUCGAUGGACUCGAAGUAUCUCCUUAUCCAGUAAAGAGUGGCCAGCCUGCCACGUUCACCGUUUCAGCCUCAACUGAGAAGAAUCUCUCCGGUGGGAAGUUUGUGGUCGAGGUUUCUUUAUUUGGCCUGCACAUACAUUCAGAAAGUCAUGAUCUUUGCGAAGAGACUUCAUGUCCUAUUGCACCUGGAAAAUUCUCUUUAUCUCACUCCCAAAGCUUACCUCCAUUUACGCCACCAGGUUUAUAUGCUGUUAAAAUAAUAUUGAGAGAUAGCAAGAACGACCAGUUGACUUGCAUAAACUUCAAGCUCAAAAUUGUUUUUGGUGAUGAGAAAUCAGCAAUUACUGAAGAAUCCUUGGUUGCUGAGAGUUGAAAAUGGGCCAAUUCAAGUUAGUUUUCAUGUUACUUUCUCCUCUGUUUUUCAACUGCAUGGUGUGUAAUAUUUAUGCUUCUACUACAAGGAUUGUUCUCUUUCUCCCUUUGUUGGUGUUUAUGAAUGUAUAAAAGCUUCUGAACAAAUGUGAAUUCCUCAAUAUUCAGCUGUUU